RNAcentral lists this ribosomal RNA (253 nucleotides) under uncultured bacterium. RNAcentral describes it as "partial 16S ribosomal RNA". It matches the Rfam family "Bacterial small subunit ribosomal RNA", at positions 524 to 776 of the family's 1533-position model. The record is from RNAcentral.
UACGUAGGGCGCAAGCGUUGUCCGGAAUUAUUGGGCGUAAAGAGCUCGUAGGCGGCUUGUCGCGUCGUUCGUGAAAACCCACAGCUCAACUGUGGGCUUGCGGUCGAUACGGGCAGGCUAGAGUUCGGUAGGGGAGACUGGAAUUCCUGGUGUAGCGGUGAAAUGCGCAGAUAUCUGGAGGAACACCGGUGGCGAAGGCGGCAUCCUGGACCGACACUGACGCUGAGGAGCGAAAGCCAGGGGAGCAAACGGG